AGCGUACACGGUGGAUGCCUAGGCAGUCAGAGGCGAUGAAGGGCGUGCUAAUCUGCGAAAAGCGUCGGUAAGGUGAUAUGAACCGUUAUAACCGGCGAUACCCGAAUGGGGAAACCCAGUGUGUUUCGACACACUAUCAUGUCAUGAAUACAUAGUGGCAUGAGGCGAACCGGGGGAACUGAAACAUCUAAGUACCCCGAGGAAAAGAAAUCAACCGAGAUUCCCCCAGUAGCGGCGAGCGAACGGGGAGGAGCCCAGAACCUGAAUCGGCUUGUGUGUUAGUGGAAGCGUCUGGAAAGUCGCGCAGCAAAGGGUGAUAGCCCCGUACACUAAAAUGCACAGGUCGUGAGUUCGAUGAGUAGGGCGGGACACGUGACAUCCUGUCUGAAUAUGGGGGGACCAUCCUCCAAGGCUAAAUACUCCUGACUGACCGAUAGUGAACCAGUACCGUGAGGGAAAGGCGAAAAGAACCCCGGCGAGGGGAGUGAAAUAGAACCUGAAACCGUGUACGUACAAGCAGUGGGAGCACCUUCGUGGUGUGACUGCGUACCUUUUGUAUAAUGGGUCAGCGACUUAUAUUUUGUAGCAAGGUUAACCGUAUAGGGGAGCCGUAGGGAAACCGAGUCUUAACUGGGCGAUUAGUUGCAAGGUAUAGACCCGAAACCCGGUGAUCUAGCCAUGGGCAGGUUGAAGGUUGGGUAACACUAACUGGAGGACCGAACCGACUAAUGUUGAAAAAUUAGCGGAUGACUUGUGGCUGGGGGUGAAAGGCCAAUCAAACCGGGAGAUAGCUGGUUCUCCCCGAAAGCUAUUUAGGUAGCGCCUCGUGAACUCAUCUUCGGGGGUAGAGCACUGUUUCGGCUAGGGGGCCAUCCCGGCUUACCAAACCGAUGCAAACUCCGAAUACCGAAGAAUGUUAUCACGGGAGACACACGGCGGGUGCUAACGUCCGUCGUGAAGAGGGAAACAACCCAGACCGCCAGCUAAGGUCCCAAAGUCAUGGUUAAGUGGGAAACGAUGUGGGAAGGCACAGACAGCCAGGAUGUUGGCUUAGAAGCAGCCAUCAUUUAAAGAAAGCGUAAUAGCUCACUGGUCGAGUCGGCCUGCGCGGAAGAUGUAACGGGGCUAAACCAUGCACCGAAGCUGCGGCAGCGACGCUUAGGCGUUGUUGGGUAGGGGAGCGUUCUGUAAGCCGUUGAAGGUGGCCUGUGAGGGUUGCUGGAGGUAUCAGAAGUGCGAAUGCUGACAUAAGUAACGAUAAAGCGGGUGAAAAGCCCGCUCGCCGGAAGACCAAGGGUUCCUGUCCAACGUUAAUCGGGGCAGGGUGAGUCGACCCCUAAGGCGAGGCUGAAAAGCGUAGUCGAUGGGAAACAGGUUAAUAUUCCUGUACUUGGUGUUACUGCGAAGGGGGGACGGAGAAGGCUAGGCUGGCCGGGCGACGGUUGUCCCGGUUUAAGCGUGUAGGGGGUGUGACCUGGUAAAUCCGGUUGCAUAUCAACCCUGAGGCGUGAUGACGAUGCACUACGGUGCAGAAGUAGUUGAUGCCCUGCUUCCAGGAAAAUCCUCUAAGCUCCAGGUAACAUUAAAUCGUACCCCAAACCGACACAGGUGGUCAGGUAGAGAAUACCAAGGCGCUUGAGAGAACUCGGGUGAAGGAACUAGGCAAAAUGGUGCCGUAACUUCGGGAGAAGGCACGCUGGCAUGUAGGUGAAGUCCCUUGCGGAUGGAGCUGAAGCCAGUCGAAGAUACCAGCUGGCUGCAACUGUUUAAUAAAAACACAGCACUGUGCAAACACGAAAGUGGACGUAUACGGUGUGACGCCUGCCCGGUGCUGGAAGGUUAAUUGAUGGGGUCAGCCGCAAGGCGAAGCUCUUGAUCGAAGCCCCAGUAAACGGCGGCCGUAACUAUAACGGUCCUAAGGUAGCGAAAUUCCUUGUCGGGUAAGUUCCGACCUGCACGAAUGGCGUAAUGAUGGCCAGGCUGUCUCCACCCGAGACUCAGUGAAAUUGAACUCGCUGUGAAGAUGCAGUGUACCCGCGGCAAGACGGAAAGACCCCGUGAACCUUUACUAUAGCUUGACACUGAACAUUGAGCCUUGAUGUGUAGGAUAGGUGGGAGGCUUUGAAGCGUGGACGCCAGUCUGCGUGGAGCCAUCCUUGAAAUACCACCCUUUAAUGUUUGAUGUUCUAACUCGGCCCCAUAAUCUGGGGUGAGGACAGUGUCUGGUGGGUAGUUUGACUGGGGCGGUCUCCUCCCAAAGAGUAACGGAGGAGCACGAAGGUUAGCUAAUCACGGUCGGACAUCGUGAGGUUAGUGCAAAGGCAUAAGCUAGCUUGACUGCGAGAGUGACGGCUCGAGCAGGUACGAAAGUAGGUCUUAGUGAUCCGGUGGUUCUGAAUGGAAGGGCCAUCGCUCAACGGAUAAAAGGUACUCCGGGGAUAACAGGCUGAUACCGCCCAAGAGUUCAUAUCGACGGCGGUGUUUGGCACCUCGAUGUCGGCUCAUCACAUCCUGGGGCUGAAGUAGGUCCCAAGGGUAUGGCUGUUCGCCAUUUAAAGUGGUACGCGAGCUGGGUUUAGAACGUCGUGAGACAGUUCGGUCCCUAUCUGCCGUGGGCGUUGGAAGAUUGAGAGGGGUUGCUCCUAGUACGAGAGGACCGGAGUGAACGCACCACUGGUGUUCGGGUUGUCAUGCCAAUGGCAUUGCCCGGUAGCUAAGUGCGGAAAAGAUAAGCGCUGAAAGCAUCUAAGCGCGAAACUUGCCUCAAGAUGAGUCU
RNAcentral lists this ribosomal RNA (2776 nucleotides) under Serratia marcescens. RNAcentral describes it as "bacterial LSU rRNA". It matches the Rfam family "Bacterial large subunit ribosomal RNA". The record is from RNAcentral. Lineage: Bacteria; Pseudomonadati; Pseudomonadota; Gammaproteobacteria; Enterobacterales; Yersiniaceae.